Molecule: ribosomal RNA, 394 nt
Filed under: uncultured Anaeromyxobacter sp.
Lineage: Bacteria; Pseudomonadati; Myxococcota; Myxococcia; Myxococcales; Anaeromyxobacteraceae
Description: bacterial SSU rRNA
Rfam family: Bacterial small subunit ribosomal RNA
Source: RNAcentral
CGAGAAAGCCCGCAAGGGUGAGUAAAGCGGCGCACGGGUGCGUAACACGUGGGUAAUCUGCCCUAGAGUCCGGAAUAACUCGCCGAAAGGCGUGCUAAUGCCGGAUGAGACCACGGGAGCCUCGGCUCCUGCGGGAAAAGGUGGCCUCUGUAUACAAGCUAUCGUUCCAGGAUGAGCCCGCGGCCCAUCAGCUCGUUGGCGGGGUAAUGGCCCACCAAGGCUACGACGGGUAGCUGGUCUGAGAGGACGAUCAGCCACACUGGAACUGAGACACGGUCCAGACUCCUACGGGAGGCAGCAGUGGGGAAUCUUGCGCAAUGGGCGAAAGCCUGACGCAGCAACGCCGCGUGUGUGAUGAAGGUCUUCGGAUCGUAAAGCACUGUCGCGAGGGACG